AUCGACGGGAUGGUUUGGCACCUCGAUGUCGGCUCGUCGCAUCCUGGGGCUGGAGUCGGUCCCAAGGGUUGGGCUGUUCGCCCAUUAAAGCGGUACGCGAGCUGGGUUUAGAACGUCGUGAGACAGUUCGGUCCCUAUCCGCUGUGCGCGUAGGAGUCUUGAGAAGGGCUGUCCCUAGUACGAGAGGACCGGGACGGACGAACCUCUGGUGUGCCAGUUGUUCUGCCAAGGGCAUGGCUGGUUGGCUACGUUCGGGAGGGAUAACCGCUGAAAGCAUCUAAGCGGGAAGCCUGCUUCGAGAUGAGGACUCCCACCCACUUGAUGGGGUAAGGCUCCCAGUAGACGACUGGGUUGAUAGGCCGGAUAUGGAAGCACGGUAACGUGUGGAGUUGACCGGUACUAAUAGGCCGAGGGCUUGUCCUCAGUUG
RNAcentral lists this ribosomal RNA (428 nucleotides) under Actinospica acidiphila. RNAcentral describes it as "partial 23S ribosomal RNA". It matches the Rfam family "Bacterial large subunit ribosomal RNA", at positions 2504 to 2925 of the family's 2925-position model. The record is from RNAcentral. Lineage: Bacteria; Bacillati; Actinomycetota; Actinomycetes; Catenulisporales; Actinospicaceae.